UCUCCGUUGGUGAACCAGCGGAGGGAUCAUUACCGAGUUUACAACUCCCAAACCCAAUGUGAACCAUACCAAACUGCUGCCUCGGCGGGGUCACGCCCCGGGUGCGUCGCAGCCCCGGAACCAGGCGCCCGCCGGAGGGACCAACCAAACUCUUUCUGUAGUCCCCUCGCGGACGUUAUUUCUUACAGCUCUGAGCAAAAAUUCAAAAUGAAUCAAAACUUUCAACAACGGAUCUCUUGGUUCUG
Molecule: unclassified non-coding RNA, 245 nt
Filed under: plant metagenome
Description: partial contains small subunit ribosomal RNA, internal transcribed spacer 1, and 5.8S ribosomal RNA
Source: RNAcentral